Molecule: ribosomal RNA, 497 nt
Filed under: uncultured bacterium
Lineage: Bacteria
Description: partial 16S ribosomal RNA
Rfam family: Bacterial small subunit ribosomal RNA
Source: RNAcentral
GAUGAACGCUGGCGGCGUGCCUAAUACAUGCAAGUCGAGCGAACAGACGAGGAGCUUGCUCCUCUGACGUUAGCGGCGGACGGGUGAGUAACACGUGGAUAACCUACCUAUAAGACUGGGAUAACUUCGGGAAACCGGAGCUAAUACCGGAUAAUAUAUUGAACCGCAUGGUUCAAUAGUGAAAGACGGUUUUGCUGUCACGUAUAGAUGGAUCCGCGCCGCAUUAGCUAGUUGGUAAGGUAACGGCUUACCAAGGCGACGAUGCGUAGCCGACCUGAGAGGGUGAUCGGCCACACUGGAACUGAGACACGGUCCAGACUCCUACGGGAGGCAGCAGUAGGGAAUCUUCGGCAAUGGGCGAAAGCCUGACGGAGCAACGCCGCGUGAGUGAUGAAGGUCUUCGGAUCGUAAAACUCUGUUAUUAGGGAAGAACAAAUGUGUAAGUAACUAUGCACGUCUUGACGGUACCUAAUCAGAAAGCCACGGCUAACUACGUG